This 497-nucleotide ribosomal RNA is filed under the name uncultured bacterium. RNAcentral describes it as "partial 16S ribosomal RNA". It matches the Rfam family "Bacterial small subunit ribosomal RNA", at positions 28 to 507 of the family's 1533-position model. The record is from RNAcentral.
GAUGAACGCUGGCGGCGUGCCUAAUACAUGCAAGUCGAGCGAACAGACGAGGAGCUUGCUCCUCUGACGUUAGCGGCGGACGGGUGAGUAACACGUGGAUAACCUACCUAUAAUACUGGGAUAACUUCGGGAAACCGGAGCUAAUACCGGAUAAUAUAUUGAACCGCAUGGUUCAAUAGUGAAAGACGGUUUUGCUGUCACUUAUAGAUGGAUCCGCGUCGCAUUAGCUAGUUGGUAAGGUAACGGCUUACCAAGGCAACGAUGCGUAGCCGACCUGAGAGGGUGAUCGGCCACACUGGAACUGAGACACGGUCCAGACUCCUACGGGAGGCAGCAGUAGGGAAUCUUCCGCAAUGGGCGAAAGCCUGACGGAGCAACGCCGCGUGAGUGAUGAAGGUCUUCGGAUCGUAAAACUCUGUUAUUAGGGAAGAACAAAUGCGUAAGUAACUAUGCACGUCUUGACGGUACCUAAUCAGAAAGCCCCGGCUAACUACGUG